CAACAACCCCAUUACAUUCGGCUCUUGUGUACUUCCUUAAACUAAAAGAACUCGAACUUGUUAUGUUAUGCCCCAAAACUAACUAUUUUUCUCUCUAAAACCCAAUUUUUUUUGAACAGAAAACCCUCAGUUUCAAUUUCUUGCAAGAUCUGUCCAGAUAAAAAUACUCCAUGGAUGAUGUUUGUGGUGGCACUGUUGUAGAAUCUUGUAUAGAGACAGUGGUAGGUGAUUUUGUAGUGAGUGGGGAGAGUGCGAAAUCCCAAGUUAUUGAGAGAGUUGGGGCAGCAGAAGGUGGGUCUUGUAAUGGGGAGGAAGUUAUGGUUGCGGCUACGGGUUCUGAUGGACAUGUGGAUGGUGUUCGUAUUCCUGAUUCCGGGGAUGGUGGCUGUGGGGGAAAUUCUAGUCAGGGUGGUCCGAAUGAGCGGGAUUCAGAGAAAGAUUGGAAGGAUUUAGGUGUUGGAGGCCAGUCUGGCGAUUCUGAUUUGGUGGCGUUGGAUUUGGGAACUGGUAAUGAGGCUGGGAAGUCUUCUGUUUUUCCAGAAUUUAAUGAAGGGAAAUUGGAGGAGGGUGCGACAGCAAUUAUGGAGAUUAGUGAUGUUGGUAAUGGCACUGCUGAAUGUAGUACCCCCCGGGGAGUUGAGGGUGGGGAUGAGUCGGACGUAAGAGUUGGAAGUGCAGUUGAAGGUUCCAUUAGUGGUGACAUCCAGGCUGUGGAUGAAAAAAUGGAAAUAGUUGCGGAGGAAGGAAGUUUGGAGGGAGAAUUGGAGAAGGAGGAUGUAAUUACUCGGGAAAUUAAGCCAUCAGAGAAUGAAACACAGGAUCAAAGAGUUAAACUUGAAAACGGUGUAGGAGGUUCUUCAGCAGUUGUUGAUUCUUUAGUAGGUGAAACACAGAUUUCUAUUGCUGCAGAGAAUUCUGAACUGGCUGAGACGGCUACUAAUCAGCCUAAGGAAAUAAAUGGCAAUGGUGGGAAUGCCCUUCAGGUGUUGGAGACACAAAAGGUUGGUGUUUUGCAUGAUGAAGUUUGGAAUCCAGGAAUUGAAAUUACUGAUGCAGCAGCGUCUUCAGCUGUGGUGGAAGAUUUACGUGCAGAUACCCAAAUUAUUGAAAAGGAAUCUGCAGUUUCAAAUCCAAAAGUUGAAGAAGCUUUGGAGGAGAUUCACAAUGAUAAUUUGGUUUCAACGGAAAAGGAUAGCAUUGCUGAUGCAACCUUCAAAUCCUUAGAUGGGCAAACACAAGUUGCUGUCGAUGGAGAAAUUGCAUCAAUGGACAAUGAAGAUAUUGGGAGUCCUAACAUUGAAGGUAUGGGCACUGAUAUUUUUAAUGAAAAUUUUUGUUUUUCAGUGGAAGAACUGCAGGCAACAUUUGAGACAGCCAACGGAAGCACUGAAAAUCACUAUGAUGCAUUUGCAGAUUUGCAAUUUUCACAACAGCCAACUCAGGUAGUUGGAGGUGACAUAAUGGGCACAGAGGACAAGUUGCAUCUGAAUUCUGAAACAGAUAUAUUAAUAUCUACAGGCUGCUCAGACCAGAGACAGUCUCAUACUUAUGCUCGGGUUCAUUCGGAUGUAGGAUCAAAAAGAGCCGAGCAAGCUAGUGAUGCUGAGCAAGGUAAGCUUGAGACUUAUUAUGAUAGUACUAUCAAUCAAAGCAGGAUAUGUUCAGAUUUGACAACUUCAUGUCAGCCUGCUCAAAGUAACGAAGGUGCAUAUAUGGAUGAGAAGGUUCAAUUACAUCCUAAUUGUAAGGGUUCAGUUCACGUGCAGUUGGAUGGGACAUUAUCUUCCUCGAGGGAUAAUCAGCACUUAAAGACAGGGACGGAGUAUCAGGAAACAAAUACCCAAAAUGCGUCAGCCAGUGCAGAUGCCCCUCAGAUUGGCUUGCACGAAGAGCAAGAAAUUGAAGCUGAAGAACAUGACUCUGAAUUUGAACAGCAAAAAACCACCGAUCGUAAAUCUGCUAAACAAGCAGCUCUAAACUCGGGAGAUACAGUAAAAGCAAUUCAAGCUAGGUAUCAGUUCCCACUUGAUGAUGAAGGUGAAUACGGUGUAUCUGAUUUAGUCUGGGGUAAAGUGAGGAGCCAUCCAUGGUGGCCUGGACAGAUUUUUGAUCCUUCAGAUGCCUCUGAGAAAGCAAUGAAGUAUCAUAAAAGGGACUGCUUUUUGGUAUCAUAUUUUGGGGAUCGAACAUUUGCAUGGAACGAUGCAUCCCUGCUAAAACCUUUCAGGUCACACUUCUCCCAGGUUGAGAAGCAGAGCAAUUCAGACACAUUUCAUAAUGCUGUUGACUGUGCUUUGGAAGAAGUCUCAAGAAGGAUAGAGUUUGGAAUGGCUUGCCCAUGCAUUCCAGGGGACACAUAUGAGAAACUUAAAUUUCAGAUAGUGGAAAACGCCGGAAUCCGACAAGAAUUACGUGUAAUUGAGAGUGUGGACAAAUCCUUGAGGGCUGAUUUAUUUGAAUCUGCUAAGAUCGUGGAUUAUAUAAAAGCAUUAGCACAAUCUCCAGCUGGUGGGGCUGAUCGCCUGGAGCUUACAAUUGCUACGUCUCAAUUGCUUUCAUUUUAUCGCUUGAAGGGUUAUUCUCAACUGCCUGAAUAUCAAUCUUGUGGCGGGUUGUUAGAGACUUCGGACACUUUACACUCUGAGGAUGCUACUCCUGAUAACAAGUAUGAUGGGCAAAGUUCAUCUGCUCAGGAGACGUUACAGACUCGAAGAAGUUCCUACCACAAGCGUAAACAUAAUUUAACGGAUACUAACCACCAUAGGAAGAAAGAGAAAAAUGUGUCUGAAUCAAUGGGUGACCCAUGGGACUCUGUAGAUGAUGAAUUUGAUCCUGAUUGGAAAGCUAACAGUAAAGUAAUAUCACCAUCUUCUGGGAAGAAGAGGAGGGUCUCUGAUUCAUUUCCUGAUGACUCGUCUAUGGUUGAAGGUAGGAAAACUAUCUCUCUAGCAAAAGUGUCCACGCCUACUCUUCCUAAGCCUUCCUUCAAGAUUGGUGACUGCCUUCGUAGAGUUGCUAGCCAGAUGACUGGGUCCCCCUCUAUAAUGAAAUCUAAUAGCCAGAAGCCAGAUGGAGGCGUUGAUUCACGUGUUGUUGAAGGAUCUGAUGCCGCGGUUCAGCAAUCUGAGGAUCCUGACACGAGGAGAAUAAAUGAUCCAGAAUACUCGUCGUUAGAUGAACUACUAUCACAGCUUCAGUUGGCAGCUCUAGAUCCCUUGAAAGGAUAUAAUUUCUUGACUGUCAUUGUUAGCUUUUUCUCUGAUUUCCGAAACACAGUGAUUAUGGAGAAGCAUGAUAAAGUAGGUGGUAAAAGGAGACAAGAUUCCCGUAUACUUGGUUCACCUGAAACAUUUGAGUUUGAGGAUAUGAAUGAUACUUAUUGGACAGACCGUGUUAUUGAAAAUGGUUCAGAAGAGCAGCCACCGCGUAAAAGUAGAAAAAGAGAGAAUCAGAUUAGGUCCGAUGACCUGGAUAAGCCUUCUAAAAGAUCAAAUUCUAGGAAGCGUUAUUCUGAUGGAAAUGGUGGUCUGUUAGCAGAGAAACCAGUUACUUAUAUAGAUGAGAAUGCACCAGCAGAAUUAGUAAUGCAUUUCCCCGUGGUGGAUUCUGUUCCUUCAGAAAUGAGCCUCAAUAAGAUAUUCAAGCGUUUCGGUCCUUUAAGAGAAUAUGAGACGGAAACAGAUAAGGAUACCAACCGCGCCAGAGUUGUUUUCAAAAAGUAUUCUGAUGCAGAAGCUGCUUAUGGGAGUGCGCCAAAGUUCAACAUUUUUGGUUCAACUCUUGUAAAUUACCAGCUCAAUAAUACUAUAUCUGUGCCAUUUAAAACUCAACCAGUGGCCACGUUCUUAGGAGUGGAAGAUGAAUCACUUUUUCUACAGUUUUGAAGAAGUGGGCCUGACUUGAAUAUUUAGGUGACUGGAGAAGUUGAAAUAUUGGGGCAGACACAAUACGCUUGCGCUGUUGCUCUUAUAAAUGUUCAACUUGUAGCGUCGCUUAAGGAAAGAAGUCUGUUACGCUGCAUUACCCCGGUUCUGUAAAGAGCUCACGAGGUUGGUCGUCGGAACAGUCUUCUCAAUAUCCAUGUUUUGUUGAUGCUGUUUGUAUAGAUUGACUUGCCAGGGGAAUAAUUCUUUUAUUCCUCUUUUUUUCGCUGAUGCAAUAGAAGGAAGUUGUCUAUGUAUGGUGAAUGUUACUACCUAUUAGUUUAUUUAGAUAUUUUGCAUGAUUUUUUUUUUUGUCAAAAUAGCUUACGACUCUUAGAGUCUCAAUUUGUUAGUUGUUAGUUACGGUUACGGAGGCAGGAUUCAAACCCAUGACCUUUUGAUGCACUUGGAGACGCCUUAACAAUCUGGGCUAGGCCCACACAGGCAUGUUUUGCAUGAUUGAUCAGAGCAAUAAUGAAUCUCCAGAAGAAGUAAGGGUAAGAAAAAAUCUGUUGACAUAACCUUCAGUAGUUGCCUGUCUGUAGUUUGCCUUGAGACUAUGGCUUGUUGGAAGAUGAUCUUCCGGAAAGUUUGGUAUUUCUUUAAUCAGAACAAGGUUCGAAUCUAA
RNA transcript from Mercurialis annua (annual mercury), 4551 nucleotides. RefSeq lists it as uncharacterized. The transcript has 4 exons. Lineage: Eukaryota; Viridiplantae; Streptophyta; Magnoliopsida; Malpighiales; Euphorbiaceae. The record is from RefSeq and is a predicted model, not a curated record.